RNAcentral lists this ribosomal RNA (301 nucleotides) under uncultured bacterium. RNAcentral describes it as "partial 16S ribosomal RNA". It matches the Rfam family "Bacterial small subunit ribosomal RNA", at positions 509 to 807 of the family's 1533-position model. The record is from RNAcentral.
CAGCAGCCACGGUAAUACGUAGGUGGCAAGCGUUGUCCGGAAUGAUUGGGCGUAAAGGGCGCGCAGGCGGCUGUGUAAGUCUGUCUAGAAAGUGCGGGGCUAAACCCCGUGAGAGGAUGGAAACUGGACAGCUGAGAGUGUCGGAGAGGAAAGCGGAAUUCCUAGUGUAGCGGUGAAAUGCGUAGAUAUUAGGAAGAACACCAGUGGCGAAGGCGACUUUCUGGACGAAAACUGACGCUGAGGCGCGAAAGCCAGGGGAGCGAACGGGAUUAGAUACCCCUGUAGUCCCUGUCUCUUAUAC